UGCGUAGGCGGGUUUUUAAGUCAGAGGUGAAAUCCUGGAGCUCAACUCCAGAACUGCCUUUGAUACUGAAAGUCUUGAGUAUGGGAGAGGUGAGUGGAACUGCGAGUGUAGAGGUGAAAUUCGUAGAUAUUCGCAAGAACACCAGUGGCGAAGGCGGCUCACUGGCCCAUAACUGACGCUGAGGCAAGACGUGGGGUAGGGCGAAACAA
RNAcentral lists this ribosomal RNA (209 nucleotides) under uncultured bacterium. RNAcentral describes it as "partial 16S ribosomal RNA". The stretch from base 1 to 186 matches the Rfam family "Bacterial small subunit ribosomal RNA", at positions 568 to 753 of the family's 1533-position model. The record is from RNAcentral.